UGUUAUUUACUAGACUGUGCAUGUGGACUUGUACAGUACUUGUACUGCUGUUUCUAGUUCUGAUCUGAACAUGGCUGGGCCACGCCCAGCUAGCACUUCCGGCAGCACUAAAGUUCUGUGGCUUCUGAUUGCCAAGCCACAUGGAUUGGCGAAGAAAGUAUGAGCGUUCGUCCUCAAUCAACUAUCAAGCUCAAUCAACUAUCAAGAAGGAACUAUCAAGAAGGGACACAAAGUGUUCCUUGGUGCUUUUGCACACUUCAAGUGGGGAGGAAAGUAUUAUGAAGCAGAGGUGCUGGCGUUGUCAGAGAAUGAGCAGAACUUGAUGAACAUACUUGAUUAAUUGACAGAUGGUGAGGUCACUCGUGAUCUUGAAGGGUGGUGGUGAAGAUGUUGUAGCUGACUCGACUACACCUGAAAAAUUACCAACUAAACCUAUUGACAAAUUGCCUACUAAACCUGCUCCUACUAAACCUGCUGACAAAGUGCCAAUUAAAAAAAGUCUAAAAGCCAAAAAAGUUUCUUCAGCUAAGGCUCGUGCAAAGGAUCUAUUUAAACACCCCCGUUACAGUGAGACAAUUCUACCAUUGAUGCUCAGGCAGUGGUAUCUCCUCAGACGGAUGUGGUUAAAAGAAGUGACGAGCAACUACUUGAGGAUUUGGAUCAAGGUAAUCAGCUGAACGAUUCGGGGAUGUUUGAUGCGAGUUUCAAUGAUCUUAAAGCCUUUGAACCAUUAGCACCACCACCGAACCUGGCCAGUGAUCAUACUAUGAAGCAACGACCAAAUGUCAGACGUAUUGAGACAAUUGAAGGUUACGGCGUAUAUUUGACACAACGUCAACUUGAUGAGGCUCUGCACCAAAGCUGCAGCUCGCCGACUCGCCUUGUAAACUUAAUGUCGUGCUUUUUUCCACCGACACUGAUGGCGAAAUCCUCUUGCUUUGGAACGCGGAGAUUCCCGAAACUAAACGAAGAUAUUGUUGGAGCAUGCUUCAGGUUUGUGCAGGUGCAGAAGAGGUAUCCAGAAGUUGGAAGAUCAACUCUCGUCAAUGCUGUGAACGACAAAUGUGCCAAUCAUAGAAGGGCUGGCACAAAGUGGCUAUACACGUAAAAUGAACAAUCCAUUUGUCUCCCCUACUUAUGUCAUUUACUUACUUAUUUUGUCUCACUCUGACUCAUUAUUGAUCAUGAACGAUUAUUG
RNA transcript from Halichondria panicea, 1198 nucleotides. RefSeq lists it as uncharacterized. The transcript is spliced from 8 exons. The record is from RefSeq and is a predicted model, not a curated record. NCBI's taxonomy places the organism in Eukaryota, Metazoa, Porifera, Demospongiae, Suberitida, Halichondriidae.